Molecule: RNA transcript, 20517 nt
Organism: Varroa destructor (honeybee mite)
Lineage: Eukaryota; Metazoa; Arthropoda; Arachnida; Mesostigmata; Varroidae
Gene: Dys
Gene name: Dystrophin
Source: RefSeq, a predicted model, not a curated record
CGUACAGCCGCCUUGGCGUUCUUCGAUGGCGCUGCGGGUACUAAUACCAUUUUGCCUCGAUUCACCAGCAGACUGCGACUCAACGGAAAGCAAGCUAUUCUGGGUUUCUGGUAUUGCAGGCGUGACCGUGCUGUGUGGUAAACCGGGCGUAUACCAUUACUGUUAAUUCGCGUCUGAGUGACAUGCCGAAGGGACACCAGCAGCGAAAGGAAAAGUAAUGAUAACAAAAAGGGUGAGCAAGCUUGGAGCACGGCGCAGAACUUGACGGUUGUGGAACGAACAGCAAAAAGAAUGAAAACUCUAUAAUAGAGUUUUCGUUUCUGCAGUGUUUGGUGCAUUUGGUUAUUCUAACUGGUUGAAACAUAAAAACAUUGUUAUGGGAAUACAUUGCGUAUAGAUCUCAUGUGUUAUUUCUGUAUUCAGUGCACUCUAUGGUGUGUUUAGACGGAGCAUCCAAGUGUACGUAAUAUUGUGCAUUCAGUUACUAUCGAUGGAUUUCGGUAGAGUACGUGUCCGCCGAAAUGCCAGACCCAGCUAAAUGUAGAUCAACAUAGUAACGCUGGUUAUCUAUUAUGGUAGUUAAAUGAUUUCAGCGCUAUCGAAUGCCUUUGACACAUCUAUAUGGUAAAGUGAAGCUUGACAGUAUUGCAAUCAUUUAAUGCAUCAAUUUGUGGGUUUACUACAAGUGUAGUGGACUAUUGAACCGUGAUUAGUGACUAUUGAUACAGCACAGGAUAUAGAACAGAAAUGUAUGUGCUGAUGCACGCCUAUAGAAUCGCUCGGGAGGAUAAUAUGUACUAUGAGCUAACCGUCACCGUUUUAGUUGCCUUUUCCUAAGAGUCGAGAUCACUUCAAUUAGCUGCUGUUCUGGCAAGGCAACGCUGGACUUCAACUUCCUAGCAAAAAAACGACAGGUGUAAGAACGUAACAGCGAGAAGCGCGUUGUGAGAGAUUGGCACGACAGCACUUCAGCGAUGUCAGGCUCGUCAAGAUGAAGAUUAGAGUUUUAGUCAGGCGUUGCUGUGGUCGCAGCCAUCGCGGCGAGUAUCCGGCGGUGUUCCUGAUAAUUUUUGCCAUCGGUUUGAGCUGAUCGAACCGGCGGCAAACUGCCGCGACACGAGAACUCACUCCUUUCUCUCUCAUUUCGACUUUUCUCAUUUCUUCUCAACUUCGCCGUCAUUCUCGCCUGCCUUGCCUAUGUGUUACUCUGUGAAGAAAUGGAACAUCGACUACAGCAACAAAACCACAGUUCCGGCACUUCCGAGGAGUCAGAGGACAACCGCAAGUCCAUCCUUCGAAGGACGAACUCGGUUGGUGACAACAAGAAGGAGGUCCGCUUCGCCGAGCAGCUCGAGAAAUCGAUCGAAAUCGAGAAUGCCACCAGGCGAAAGCCGAAACGGUCCCUGAGUCAGCCGCUUGUCUAUCGGCGACCGGUAGAGACUGUGAAGGAUCUCGUUAAGAGUUUCGUCGGAAACCGCGAUAAAACGAACGACCGUUCUCUGGGGAAUGCUGACAGGUCACUCGGCGGGGUCUAUAAGAAUCUUCUCUUUUCUGAGGUGGACUCAGACGAGGGCGGAGCAAACACUGUAAAGCAAGCAGGAUCUACUUCUACUCCGAAGUAUGGCUCACUGCCGCGGAGUUUUCGAACAACAGAGGAACAUGCGGCGACUUCAGAAAAGCAUCAGGAACGUCAUAAAAUACGUCGCACCAGAUCAUUGCAAGAGCGUCAAAGAAUCGCCGGUAAUUCCGGUAUAUCUGGUUCAAUAGUGCCUCAAGCGCCUUUUCGUCGUAGAGUCUUCAGCGAUUCGGAUGUAUUGUCAGAUGGAAAAACGGCGCAACCCCCAAGUAUGAAGACCCAACAACCAACGGAAGUCACAUUCUCAACUCCGUCUUCUUCACCUGUUGCAGCAGUACUGAGCAGUACAGCUUCUCUAAUGCCUCAAAUAGAAAUUAACUUGGUAGAACCCUCUUCCCAGCAGUUUCCUAAUUAUUUCAAGAAAUGCUCAAAACGAUCUAGUUCUGAUCCUGGGCCUUCGAGCCAAUCCGAGCCCCCUACACAGCUGCCCUUCCGUAUUGGAAGCCUAACAACGGUUAACCCUGUUUCAACAUCACCGACGGUCGCUGAACUGAAGCUACAACAGCUUCAGCUUAGUCUGCUACCCAAAACAAAAGUACGUAAAAGGCCACCAAAACUCGGCCAGCUUUACACCACGCUUUCUCCAGUAACUUCUGUAUCAACUGAAGACGAAUCUACGGAAGAGGCUUUCAAACAGAAGGCGAGCUUCAAAGUGACCACGGAUUUGCAUCGACCUUCUAUUUCAACUGGCGCACAAAUAUCAUCAAACAAUAUUCCCAAAACCCUUACAGCAAAAAUACCUACUGCUCCAGUAGAAAUAAAGAUCACUUCAAGCACUCCCACGUCGUCCGAGACACGAAGUCCUUUGCCAGAGUUCAAGAACAUGCCAAAAAUGAAUGAUUGCAGCGAAGUUUUGACGGAAGUUCUGCAAAAACUUAAAAUUCUUUCACAACAAGAAGCUGAAAUCGAUACAUCUUCACCAACUGAAGAGUCCAAGUCAGCAGCCCUUAUGUUUAAGGCUGACGAAGGCAUGCUGAUAAAGGCGGAAGAAGUUUUGAUGCAAGAAGUACAGACCGAGCCAGGAUUGAACACUCUUAACGCUGGUACGGUCCAUCAGAUCGGGAACAAUACAGCUAAGUAUUCAGAAGGGAAAUUAGAUCAUGUAGAUAUUGCGCAAGAGCGAUGGAGCAUCACAACCGCCGAAGAAGUUCAAAGAUCUCAAUUUAUAACGCCAAUUCAUAUAAUGGCACUUAAACCAAACGAGGGUUGCAGCGAGAAGGAGCGACUUGACGUGUUCCAACGGAAAACGGAACCCCGAUACAAACAAGUGAUCUGCGGAAGCUCCUUUGUAUCGCAUGCGUUCCGCAGCCUGCAGAAAAGUCCGACGUUGCAGUCGGAUUCAUUGGACUUAACGAGCUCAGGCGAAUCAGCUUCGGAAGCGACUUUUUCGUCGCUUGUCAGCGCCCCAAUGGAUGCAUCCCGUAUGCGAGGGGAAACAGAAGGCUUCCUCGUUGUGAGUCCUCCCUUAAGCUUUGAUACAUCGGAGUCCUUUAAACAGAUCGAUAGGUUCGAAGAUGGAACUGCGUCAACUUCGGCUGAUGUCGAGGGAGCUGAGACAAAUGGCGCGGUUGGAGAUGGCUCAUUUCCAACUCUAGACACGUCAGAAGACCUUCGAAUGGAUCCCGAAGAUGAAUAUGAACGCGAGGACGUCCAAAAGAAGGCGUUCGCUAAAUGGAUAAAUCAGCGUUUGGUACAAGGAGGCUAUGAACCGCUCAAAGAUCUCUUCCUCGAUCUACGAGAUGGCACUCGGCUUCUCCAGCUUCUCGAAGCGUUGUGCGGUCGCCCAUUUCCUAGGGAGAAAGGUCGUCUCCGGGUGCACCACAUGAACAAUGUCUCGCGCGCCUUGCAGGUGUUGGAUUCACAAAAUGUGAAACUGGUAAACAUCUCUACCAAUGACAUCGUUGACGGAAAUUCCAAACUUACGUUAGGUCUUAUUUGGAGCAUCAUUUUGCACUGGCAAGCGCAGGAUGUCCUUCGAGCUAACAAGUUGACGGGUCUGCACACUUCGUUAGAACGUACGCUACUCGCGUGGUGUCAGGAGAUAUGCGCGAAUUACGCAAAUUAUGUAACCGUGACGAACUUCACGACGAGUUGGCAAGAUGGCUGGGCUUUCAACGCACUGCUGCAUUACCAUUCGCCAGAUAUGUUUAAUUUUGAGAACCUGUUCUGUCUCAAAGGAGAGGAAAAACUCGAGCAUGCUUUUGAGGUGGCCCAUACAUCUUUUGGCAUCGAUAAGCUUCUUGACCCCGAGGAUAUGGCGAUUCCGGACCGGAAGUCCGUUAUGAUGUAUGUGAUGUGUCUGUACCAGAGACUACAUCAUUUGGCGCCCGCAGGGGCAAGUGCAACAAAAACAGCUACGCUAGAAGGUUAUAAGGCAUUGCUAGAGGAAACCCUUGCGCGGUUGCUCGAGGCUGAAGAACGAAUAAAAACUGCACCGGAGGCCUCGACAAAUGAAGAUGUCGACGUCGUUAAGCAGAUGUACUACGAACAUGAGGCUUUUAUGCAAGAGGUGCGGCGACUGCAAGAGAGCGCCGUUGACGUCCUUCGACAAGGACGAUCAAUAUUGAAAAAUGGCUCAAUCCCACUCCAGGAUGACGAAGCUCAAAAUCUAAACUCAGAGAUCUCCUACGUUAAUAAGAAGCUGCAGGAAUUGCGCGAUCAUAUAACUCAGCGACAAACCAAGCUAUACGAAGUCCUGAUGACGUUGCAGCAGCGACAGCUGACUAAAUUGCGCAACUGGCUGACGGAACGUGAAGAUGUUUUAAGUACAAUUGCUCAGCCUGGUCCGGAUUUCGAAUCGACAACAAAACAAGUUGACAUUCUACAGGAACUGCAGGAAGCUAUUGAGCAGCAACAGGAAUUGGUUACUUCACUCGGGAACAUGAUAAUUAAUGUGGACGAUCCUGACUUCACCGACCUCGAGGACCAACUGACGGCUAUUGGAGAAAGGUACACGAUGUUCUGCCAGCUGGUCGAAGAAAAUGGAGUGAAGCUUCAUCAAAUGCACGCAGUACUGCAGUUGAUGAUUUUCGAGGAAGAGUUUUUCUCGCAAUGGUUUCAGGAAAAGGAGGAUCUGCUUGCAACGCUUGAAGACCAGGCCAAUGCCGAAACAACCGCUGACGACACUAUGCUGAUUCAGAGCUUGCAGAAAAUGACCGAAGCUUUGAACAGUGAAAAUACGCGCCUAACACAGCUAUGUCGACAACUUCAGCUAACAGCUGAGAAACAAGAUAAGGGCUGUCAGGCCCUCAUGGAACUUACAAAAAGGUGUGAUGUAAUUGUAUGUCGGUGGGACGUCCUGAUUGACCGGAUGGAUGUAUUAGCUCGGCAGGUAGCUGGCCGAAACAAAGAUAAGAGUAAUUUGUGGCUGAAAAAAAUGCAGCUUACGCAGCUGCGUAAAGACCAAGCCGGCGGAAAGGAUCAGAUCGACUCGAUCCAGGCAAGUAGUAACAAGAAACGCAAACUAGAGCGAGGUGGAGUAUCACGAAAAAGCUCAUUUUCUGAACUUACCAAAGAAGUAUCGCUUGCAUUUAACACGCUCAAUCGUCUCGAGACGUUGGUGGGAAUUACGGGCGAGGGCGGGCGCGUCGGCACGUUUUGGGAGGGCAUGAGCGCGGAGGAGCAAAUCCGAAAACUCGAUGAAGCCGACAAAAUCAUCAAGAAGACUCGCCUCGAAAUUACCGUACAGGAUGCAAUAUGUGCCCUUGAUGAGCAUCUUAAAGGCAAGGUUGCCGAUGUGAGCGGAGACACGUUGAGACACAAGUCAGCCGAACUCGAACGACGUUGGUUAGCCGUUCAGACAUUGGUGCGUUCGCAACGGGAACGAGCGCUUGGGUUUUUGGAUAUUGAAAAUCUCAAAAACGGAAUGGAUAUGUUAGUUAAAGAUAUCGAAUCAAAACGACGUUUUAUUCAUUCCUGUGAAGAGCUCGUUAUCGAGGAUGACACUCCGGACUUGUCGAGUAGUCGCGAUCAGGUCAACAUUACGAAAAAGCUUUGGGAGUGUCAACAACGGCUGGCGACAGCGCAUAAACAGAAGGAACAAGUGCAACAGUUAUCGCAAGAUGCGACCGAUACCCAAGCAGCUCGGCCACUUUUGGCUGGAAACUCGGUUUUUGCAGAAUUCCAGGAGGUUGUGCAGGAGUGGCAUGAUACGCACCUAGAGAUGGAGGAGCUGGAAAGGCAGUUACAGGCCUCGCUACGAGAUGGGCCUCCGCCAAAACUGCUGAAGAGUGUCUCUCUACUUGACAAAUGGAUCGGCAGCAUUAACGCUACGUUGUUAGGGGAUUCGCUAGCCGUCAAAUCGUUAGAACAAAUGGAAGAGCAGCUAAAGAACUAUAUGGACUUUCAAGAGCAGGUGAAUAAGGAGGAAGGUAACCUUCACGAGUUGAACAACACUGCCGAAGAUCUGCUGCGGCUCGAGCAUAAACGACCAUGGGCGGACUCAUUCGAGCGACAGUUAGCCAAAAUGAACCAGUGUUGGCAUAGCGUGACCAAUACACUUUCUGAACGUAUUCGAGUGUUUAACCGGCAUGUCGACACGUUACGCAGUUUACGUGAUGAAAUGUGUUCGAUAAACUCCUGGAUGGACGGAAUUGCCGAAUUCGUUGAGGAUCAUGACAAGCGCUGGAGUAUGAUUGACCUCGAUAAGCUUGAAGAGCUGUUGGAUCAGACACAAAACCUGCGUUCGGACGUAGCAAUUUUGCAACCAAACGUGGAUAUGGUUAACCACAUGGCUGGCGAGAUAAGGAAAGUAGCCGAGCCAGCGUUCGCUAUUGAGCUUCAGAAAAGCGUCAAGGCUAUGAACCAACGAUGGGCGAAGAUCACAGAGGAAGCGUCAUCCAAGGCCUCGGCUCUAAAGGACGCAAUCCAUACGAACAAUUCAAUCACGGAAGAACUUCGAAACCUCUACAGAUGGAUUGAGCUGUUUGAAAAGGAAACGUUCCCAACAACGCCUAUGGAGCUCGGGGUGGACGUGCAGUCGCGGAUAAAGCACUUACAAGCGCAACGUGAAAAAAAGAAAGCUAAAGAUUUUGCACUGGAAAAGCUCGAACGGCAGAUGACUCAAAUGUUAAAGGCUGGCAAACUGGAAGAUGUUGAAGAUCUGAAGGAGGACCUCGAUACGAUCAAGGUGACCUGGACAGAAUUAGAUAGUCGUGUGGACAAAAUGGAAGAGGCCUUGAGAGGAGCCUUGCCGAAAUUGGCUACAUUCAAAAAUUUGAUCGUGAUGAAAAUCGAGUGGCUCAAUAAGCUUGAAAAGAAGCUCAAAAAGCUCCCACAGGCUGCCGUAGAUGCGGAGGAGGCUUCAGGGCUACUUGACGAACUAGAGACCUUAAUAGAGUCUGCCAAACCUGAGCGAAUACGGGAGAUUUCACAAAUCCGUGAUGACCUUCUUGGACUCAACGUGAUGACAGAAUACGUCCACACCGAAUCUGGCCGGAUCUUCGAACGAAAUCGGGAUUUACUGAAGCAAGCUACUGAAGGUAUCGAGCUUCUCGAACGAAUGAUAAAGGAGGCCCAGGACACAGAGGAUCGCAUUACGAUACUGACAAACAGCAUAGCCAAGAGCGAGGAAACUCUGAAGAAAGACAUUUCUAAGGAAGACAUAGAACAGAAGUGGGACGACAUGACUAGGGUUAAAGAAGUCAUUGAUAUCCUAUUUGCGCGAGCGAAGGAGUACGCGAACGAUGGCCGAUCCGAGGCAGCGAAAAGGAUCUCAGAACGUGUCGAGGUGUUUGCGAAGCGACACGCGGCUGUAGUGACAAAACUUCGUGCGAAUCUAAUUCCCGCCGAUUUCGAAGAAAAGCUUGCUAACGUGGAAGCUUCGCUGACAGCUGUCGAAACAACAUCUAAAGAAAUUGAGCUAACAACCCAUGAGUCCGAACUAAUUGAGCAGCAACUUAAGAAAUGUAUGGAUCUCUAUGGAGUGCUAAGCGCGAUGAAACCCGACAUGGAGAUCCUAAUAAGAAAUGGUCGAAACUACUCUGUUUAUUGCAAGGAUCCAGCUGAUCUUAACCGAAGGCUCGAUGUCAUCAAGGAACGUUAUAACGUCCUUGGUGAUAAUGUGCCUGCAACCAAAGUUAUGAUGGAAGAGGCUCUUGACUAUUCGAGGGAGGUGGAGGGACUCUAUAAUGCUUUGGCUCCGUGGCUAGAACAAGUUCGAAUGGAUUACUUCGAACCGGAAUAUGUGCAGAAAAUCCAGGGUGAAUUGGAUCAACGGCGUCAGUUAUUCCACCAGUUAUUUGAACGGUUCGACAAACUGAACGCCUUAUCAACAAAGGACCUUGCUUUGUUGAAGAAGUCUAUUGAGCCUCUAAAGGAAUGCUUUUUUGAAGCGGAGCAUUUAUUCGCGGUCGAGCGGCGUACUGAGGUGCGGCUAAAGUUAGAUAGCUUUAAUGGCAACUGCAUACGAAUCAAAACUUGGCUUGAGGGGGCCGAACUUUAUUUCGAGGCCAAGGAGGAGUACACAUCGUCACCGGCUGGACAACGCCGCCUUCACGGUCUAUACAACGAAAUGCACGAAUUGAACGAAGUGGUCAAGAAACUCCGUGAAGUGGCCAUUGAAUUAAUGAAGGCGGAUGACAAAUACACACUGCUUAUUCAACCGCAGCUAACGAAACUGAGUGAACGUUGGAAUUCAAUGGUUGACCGAUUGAGGGAAAGGGCUGGUGCAGGUCGAGAAGAUAUCCUUGUCGAGCUCAAAGCGUUCCUGGAACGAAUGGAGGCCGUGGAACAGCGCGUCAAUGACAUGUGCCUGAUUCAGAGUGACGACAACGUCCUGGAAGAAUGUGACUCUCUCGCUAGGAACCUGAGCGCAGAGACUGUCGUAAUGGAUGCCGCUGCAGGCGAGUUGGACAAGAAAAUCGCAUUGAGCGGGCUGUUUACGGUCGAAUGGUCUCAGGCUCGCGAGCGAUGGCUUCGAUGUCGGAAAAUGAUGGAAUCCACUCAAAGGAGAGCUGAGGAUGCUAGGGAAAAAUGGCAAAGUUUCGAAACUGAUAUCACAGAUAAGCGCGAAGCUGUGAAGAAGCUGCUAGAACAGCUAGUUCAGGCGUUGGACAACGCGAAGAACGGCGUUAAGGACAACUCGCUUGAGAGUGCAGCACGCGUCGGGGAUGAAGUCAACUUGGUGAAGAAGAAAGCGCAGGACCUUCAGGACCUCGGAAUACCUUCAAACGCGAUCCGGAACAAACUUGGCAAUCUUACUCUCAUAUGGAAUAAAGCACAACUACAAAUUGCUGAACUUAAAAACAUUCGCCGUAUUUCAAGUUCUCAUGGGGAUGUAUAUCCAUCUCGGGAGGACGAAGCAGGCCGCAUUAAGUACUCGACACCGCAGAGGCUCGAUAGCGCUUAUAGUUCGCCUACGUCUAGCCUGGCUGAAUACCAUGAGAAGGUAAAUAAUCUGCGCGACGUGUUAUCACAUUUACAGAGGAUGUUAGCUGACGAAAAUUUCACGGAGUUCGGAUUAGCCCAGCAGGAAUUACUUCAGACGAUCAAAGAGUCCAUCGCCUCGCUAAAAGUUCCGAUUGACAAUACAAAAAUGGAGCAUAAAACAGUCUAUGCAGCUAAUGAUGAUGAGGCUCAUAAGUUGACGUCUCUCGUUGAGGGCCUAUUAGAACAAUGGACUUCUUUGAAAAGUUCUUUCGCCACAGUCAACGAACGGUGGCUCAAGAACAAAGAGACAUGGUUACGAUUUAACUCGAAAUACAAAAAGUUCACCCAUUGGCUGGACACAAUGGAAGCUAAUAUGAAGGAGUCGACUGAGAAAGGCCGUCUGCAGUUGUCGCUGCUAAAAAAAAAGAUGCCGGACUACGAAUCGCAGGCUGCGGAGCAUCUUCCUGUCUACGACCGGACCAAACACCUCGGUCGGACGCUCCUUACCCAGUGUGGACCCGUGGACGUAUCUGACCUCGCUUCGAAACUCGAUCUGAUCGAAAAGCGGUGGAAAAGCCUUCUUCUCGAACUACAAAAGAGUAAAACUUAUGAAAAGCGACCAAAGAGCGGUGAACAACUCCGAGAGGACAUGCUUCAACUCCGCGCGUGGUUCAUGGAGGCCGAAACUUUACUGACGAUCAGCCCACCGCCACAGGAUUUGGCGGAAGGAUUUGAAAAGCUAGAAAAUGUCAAGCGAUGCGAGGCGGAGAUGGCUUCGAAACGCACGUGUUUCUUCAGUGUUCUGCUUAGCUCCGCGCCACAGAGAAUCGACAUUGACUCGCUUGGUGAUAAAUUCUCGAACCUUUGUCAACAACUGACCGAUUUCAGGGAGAAGCUGGAAGAUUACUUACGCCGGCUCGAACAAUUAAUGAACGAUGUCCAUGCCGAAGAGCGGCGCUUGGAUGAAUCACUGCUCGAUGCCGAACGGUUCGUAGCUGGGCGGCUCCUGUUAAGGUCAAGUUCGUUCAUCUGCAGGGAUUCACCAAGACGUGGCCGGCAGGAUUCGACCCGGAGGUCGUUGCGUUCUACGGCGCUAUCUGCUGUUGGCAUGCCGCUGCGUUUGCAACGAACAUCGCAGACGCCACUGACAUCAACGCCAGCGGGUUCGAGGGCGUCGGCGGAGUAUGAGCGGGACUCGUCGAGUUCUCUGACGAAGGCAUCCGAGACGUCCACGCAGACCGGGACCGAGACGCUGAUCGGGUCCGAAAUCGAAAUGAAGCUGAACGAGCAUGUGAUGUUGGAACAUUCUCGUAUGAUGCGCAACCUUCAGCGUAGGGUCCAGCAGCUGGAGAAGGUGUUCCCGUUGCUGCCGGGUUGCAAGACUGACUUCGAGCGUUGCGUCGCGUCGUGGCAGAGAUUGUGUGCCGUCGCUGCCAGGUGUGGCCCUCCGCUCGCCCUGCUCGUCGCUCAACAGACCUACCCCCGCCGAGACCACCCCGGUGCUGGUGACGUACUUCCACAGAUUGAGGGUAGCAUGGGUCUGGCUGAACUUUCCGAUGAACUCGGCGAACUGGAGACGUGGGUGGGGGCCCAGCACAAAAAGAUACUCGAGAUCGUUGUCGACUUUGGUGUUGAUGAUAGUGUCAAAGAGGCCCUGCAAGCCUACAAGGUGCUUCUUGAGGAACAUGUGGUGCGACGAAGCGCUCUGCGCCAGCUUAAUACGGCGCUGGAAUACUUGAGUGACGAAGCAGAAGAUCUAUACGAACAAGAAUUACAAGAAGUAUUUGAUCAGGGAACUGGAGGAGUCGGCGACGAUCACUCGAAGACGAAGUCCGAUAAAUCAGAGCACCGUCAGGGCGGGAUACGCGAAAGGACGUCGAACGAGCGCCGUGAGGCACUUCUAGAACUCCGCAAGAAAGCUGUGGAUGUCCAAGGCGCAUUGGAUUCGCUUGAAUUAGAAGCGAUGCAGCGGCGGCGCCAGCUCGAGUCUUUGGCUGCCGAAGGCGGUCGGACGUUCGAAGAGAGGCGUCGCGAGUUGGAGCAAUGGCUUGCCCGAAUGGAGAACCGCCUCGAUCGCCAGCCCCUCGUUGGCCAAACACUCGAUGUGCUCGAGACCCAACUCCGGGAACAUAGGCUAUCACACGCCGAGGUGGGACAGUGGAAAGCUGCGUUGGACACGGUCACACGAGUGGGUCAACGGUUAGCCGAAGAACUCGAGGCCCAACAACUCGCUGGGGGCCAGCCUGGUCAUACAGGAAGCUUGCCCCACAACCACAGCGGAAUCGCACAUCACCAGACCGCUGAGGAUUUACAUGUUAUCCUUGAUCGAAUCAACCAAAGAUUCCAGGACGUCAGUAUGAGCAUUCAGUCACGAGGUGGCCAACUCCAGGGUGCCCUAAACUCGUUGGCACAGCUGGAGCGCGCCGUGGAGCACUUCGUGGCGUGGCUUUGUGAUGCAGAAAGUUCGCUUGAGGUUAUUGAGGACGACGCCAGAAGACUUCCGCCUAGGGACGACAUACAUCGGCAGCUCCUGCAAAGGAUAAAGGAGCUGCAGCGCGAAAUUGACAGCCAACGGGAUUUGCAUCUAACGAUCAGCGACCGUGGCCAAAGUCUUAUUCAGGGGGUCACGGCACCGUCAGAGGAGGCGCUACUUCUCAAAAGCCGGGUAGACGAAAUGAACGCCAGGUGGGAUAACUUACGAUUACGGAUUGUCUCCAUCAGGACGCGCUUAGAGAAUGGCGCAGACCACUGGCACCAGUUAAUGCUGAGUCUACGAGAACUUGUCGAGUGGGUAGUCAAAAAGGAGACGGAAUUGGGAGCCCAGCCGCAAAUCGGGGGUGAUGUGGCAACGAUCAUGAGGCAACAGGACGACCACCGUGGAUUCCGCGUGCAGCUCGACGACAAACGGCCGAUCAUUGAGAGCGCCCUGCUUGCAGGACGGAACUUUUUGCAAAGGGAGGGCGCCGACAUGACGCCACCUGACCAAUUUGGGGAGCGUCGUUCGAGCAAUGGAGGCGCUCGUGGAGGGCCUGGUAGCGACCUACUCGCUAAUGAAGUCGGGCCGAAUGGCACUACCGUAGGCAGCAGCGAAGACUCUCAUGAAUUAGCUCGAUCAGUUCGCAGAGAUGUGACCAAAUUAACCGAAAAAUGGGAUCUUCUUGUCGCUCACACCGAUCAGCGUCACAGACGACUCGACGAUGUACUUAAUAAAAUGCAAGCCCUACAACGCGCCUUGGAUGAUUUCGGUAGUCGGCUGCUUACGGCCGAAACCGCCAAAGAGAACUGGCCGAGCGGGGUUCACGAUCUUUCAAUGGAUCAACUCGCUCAGCAGAUCGAUGAUCUCAAGGAUUUCCGCGAUCGAAUCGCACCGAUGCAAGGGGUCGUGGAUGGGAUGAAUGAGGCUGCGGCAGCAAUAACCGCCUGCGGGGUGGUCCUCUCGCAACAUAACCUUUCCAGACUUGAGGACCUGAACGGCCGCUGGAGGAUACUGCAGCUUGCGCUUGAAGAAAGGAGGAAACUAUUGGAGCACGCCCUUCUCGAUCAGGGCGCCAGUCAACAGACCUUCCUUAAUGCAUCGGUUGAUCCACCUUGGGAGCGAGCGGUUUCGGGCAACAAGGUGCCUUAUUAUAUAAAUCACCGGGCAGGCACGACUCACUGGGACCAUCCAAAGAUGCUCGACCUAAUGGACGCGUUGACCCAGUAUAACACUGUUAGAUUUGCUGCGUACCGGACUGCCAUGAAAAUUCGACAUCUUCAACGGGCACUAUGCUUGGAUUACGUGUCGAUGAACGUGGCGAUUUCGGCAUUCGAACAGCACGGCCUGCGCGCACAAAAUGACAAGGUGAUUGGAGUCAACGAAAUGGUACAGUGUUUAGCAGCCGUAUUCGAAGGAGUGAUUCGAGAACACGGCUCCGACGCUCUGCUUCGCCUGCCGCUAUGUGUUGACAUGUGUCUCAAUUUCCUACUCAAUCUAUACGAUACAGCCACUCGUACCGGGCACAUUCGUGUGCUAUCAUUCAAAGUCGGCAUCAUCCUGCUCUGCAGGGCCAAUCUAGAGGAUAAGUUCAAGUAUCUAUUCCGUUUGAUCGCGGACGUGAAUGGCUAUGCUGAUGAGAGGAAGUUAGGACUUUUGCUGCAUGACUGCGUGCAGACCCCCCGACUACUGGGGGAAGUGGCGGCUUUUGGCGGAUCAAACAUCGAGCCAUCAGUGCGUUCGUGUUUCGAACGAGCUGGCCCAGGCCGCCGGGAAAUCAACGUGCAGAUGUUCCUACAGUGGUUCAUGCAGGAGCCGCAGUCACUUGUCUGGCUACCCGUGCUACAUCGACUAGCAGCUGCCGAGUCAGCUAAACACCAGGCCAAAUGCAACAUUUGCAAGCAGUACCCCAUUGUCGGCUUUCGGUACCGCUGCCUAAAGUGCUUCAACACGGAUUUGUGUCAGAAUUGCUUCUUUUCUGGUCGGAGAGAAAAGGGCCAUAAGCUCGCUCAUCCCAUGCAGGAAUACUGCAUGGCGACAACAUCCGGUGAGGAUGUUCGAGACUUUACGAAGAUCAUGAAGAACAAGUUCAAAUCGAAACGCUACUUCAAGAAGCACCCACGAUUGGGCUACCUACCGGUGCAGACAGUGCUCGAGGGAGAUGACCUGGAGAGUCCGGCCCCUCGAUCGCCACCCACGCUUCAUCCAUCAUCGGAUCUACAUUCGCGGAUGGAGCAUUACGCCAAUAAGCUGGCGCAGGUUCAGCUCAGACCUCGAUCAAAUUCCACGCCGGAGUCCGGUUCUGAGGAUGAACAUAACUUGAUUAAGCAGUACUGUGCAGCGAUGAACGGAGACGCGCAUGGUCUCUCGACAAAUGGCUCACUUAGCGCCGGGUUAGGGGCAUCACCCAUUCCGCCCCCCCUUAGUGCAAUGGCAGUUGGUGUCGGCGCUGGCGGAAGCCUCGCCGGUCCAGGAUCGCUACCUGGGGCGUUACCUGGGGGACUAUCUGGGACGUUACCGGGCUCGUUGCCUGGCUCGAUGCCUGUCGUCGGACCGCCGCCCGGUGUCCUGUUGACCCCAUCAAGUCCGCCUACCAUGCCCUCCAUGUUCCUACAGCCUCGAAGCCCGGCGCAAGCGCCUACUCAGAUCCUCGCUGACCAGAAGGACGAGCUGCAAAUGAUGAUUCAUGAACUCGAACAUGAAAAUCGGCAACUUCAUGCGGAAUAUGAACGUCUACAGGAUUUACGAGCAAGCGAAGGCUUCUCGCCGAUGACACCUUCAAUUCUCGGCGUCGAUGGAGAGGUCGAUGGUUUAUCGACCCAAGACGAGGAGAUGUUAGCUGAGGCCAAGAUGCUCAGGGAACAUAAAGGACGCCUGGAGGCACGAAUGCGAAUGCUCGAGGAGCAGAAUCGCGCUCUGGAUGCGCAAUUACGUCGAUUACGGACACUUCUUGCCCAGCAUGAGGGCUCCCCAGUCAUCACUCCCGCUCUUGGCAGACCGGACCAUGCGGACUAUGUGGUCGCUGGCCACCCGAUGCUCAACGGCUCGACGCCGCGGCCAGGUUCCGCACUGAGUGGACAUAUAGAGCAAUCGUUUGUCCGUGAGACCGGUGAGGGAUGGAAGCAAUCUCCAAUGUGUGAAUACUAUCAAGGGCCAAUGACUGAGGAUGGUAGCAAGACGUUUGCGUCGUUGGAUGCCCCAAUGAACACUGAGCAAAGAUUCCACACCGGUAUUGUCGAUGAUGAUCAGGCCAAUGGAGAUGCAGAACGAAAACAGUACGUUACUGAACUGCCCCUGAACUGCAAGUCUUUGAGGCUUAUUUUUGUCGACGAAAAUUACCUAUCUAGUAAGAAGCUACCAAAAAGAGGCGAACAUGACUAGCUGAUAUUAAAAAGGCUAUAUUUUUAAGUCAAUAGAAACGUUUUUCCUGAUAGCAAAAGGUUACGGAGAAUGUAUGAUUGUAAAGUUACGAAAUCGGGUGACAAAGCUUUGUCUCCGUAUAAAUGAAAGGAUAAUGUCAUAGACACUGCAAUAAGAGUUCGUUUUACAAAAUACCAGUAUUAGUUUGUUGCACGCUACUCGUAAUGUAUUCGAAAUUGGUCAUUACUGCUCUACUUGUUGCUAGAGGCACUGAUGCCGAGAAACUUUAGUUUUCACAAGAAACAUUACGCAGAAUGUUAAUGUAUAAAAAAUCAACACCUUAGAUUUAAAGAAAUAAUCAAUAAUAUUGCAAACAUUAAGUCACAUAUCUACAAUAAUCUUAAAUGAAUUCGUCUAUACGGAACAACUAAACAGGGGCAUUAAUCCAAUUCAUAUGAAGUCGAAUGAUCCAUCAACAGCCGAAGAGGAAAAUCUAGAAACGUACCAAAAGCGAACGUAUAUAUGUUUUGAAGGUCUCUCCGGAACGACGUGUUAGACAAACAACAGAGUGGCUGACCCCUUCAAUACAUUCUUGUCUAGUUGAUACUCAGCCCAGAGGGAGGAACGACAGAAGCUGUCGAGUACAAACGCUUCUGCAAGCCAGAUAUGAGUCUUAGGCACUCGGUAUAAAAUAAUGGUCACUCAUAAAACCGUUAGAGGUGUCACGAUUACGAUAGGCACGCUCACCUAACAAGACAAGUACAAGCCAUUGAUGGAUACCCACCAUCGCCUCAUAUGUUAUGGCGUGAAGCGAAGUUACACAUAUUAAAAAGGCCUGUCGCAGAAGCCAGUCGCAUUAUGGGGAGCAAAAAAUUUUAAAGCGUUCAGGUUUCCAGUGAACGCAGGAUGAAAUUAGAUGAAAGAUGUCGUCUGCUUAACCUGAUGGCUGGCAAGUUGACAAAAGCUUCAAGCAGCCAUGUGUUAAUGAUACCAAAAAUAGUAGUAUGAUUGAUAAUACUAAUACCAAAAUGUAGGACUAGUAAAGACACUACACAAAGACAAUGACUAUGCUUUCUCCUUCCUACCAAAAAAUUAUAAAAAUUAAUGAAAUAAUGAUGAAAUUAUAAUGAUGACGAUAACACUACCGAGUUGCUGUGGUCCGCGCAGACAUUUGGAGUUACUCGAACAAGUAUUACAGGAUCUGUCCUGCACUGACGACGCUUCGGUCAUUUACAAUGUACAUAGCAGGUGAACGGCAGGUAGGCCUCCUAUGAGAGUAGCACUGAGCUGUUUAUCUAUUUGCAUACUAAAUAUAUAAUUAUAAAUAUUAAUACAAAUAAUAGUAUUAACGAUGAUAAAAUCUACAGACAUGUGGUGUUGCCUCGCUGGGGUGGGCCGACCAUGACUAGCUGCUGUGGACGUCAUGUAGGUAAGACUCAUGGCUAGAUAACAAUUACAAAAAAAAAGCCAAGAGAAAAUGGUGUAGAAAAACAUAGAUUAGAUUUAAAAGUUGGCAAGCUUGGCACAGUUUGAAAUUAGGUUGCCGUAAAGACGAAAAGUGUGCGUUUUAGGGCGUUUGUAGUAAAAGUAAACGACAUUUCUGAAGGGGGAAGGGGUUGUUGAAACGGUGUCUUCCUCUACAACGAUAUUAAAUUGUGGGCCGUUGUUCGGGUUGCCCAAAAACCUCACCUUUCGCUAUUUUAGAACACACAGCUAAGGUAAGAUGAUCAUUAGAAAGCAAACAAAGAUGCAGUUGGAUUCGAUAAUGUCUCAAUGAAGAUAGGGUGAUCAUGAGGCUACGAUAAGCAAACACAAAAAUGCAGAGGUAUAUAUAUAUGUAAAGGAUGAUAAAAGGCACAGGCAUCUAAGCAUAUCGGUGCUUCCAAUAAAGAGCAAAUGCAUCGGACCUUCUAUAGCGAACUCGUGUUGCUAAUUGUCCGGGCUUUGCUUGACGUUGGGGGCAUGGUCGACGAACAUAGCACAGCGUAUGCUCAUUCAGUUAUCGCGAUGUAGGUCCACCCCGGCAUUCAUGGGCUGACUUGCCCUCUCGACAACCGAUAACAAUAAUAACUACUAUUAUAAAAAUACAAUGGACUAUAAUGAACGGAUAAUGAUAAGACAGCUGUGUAACGUCAUGCGAUAAAACAAGUGAAAGCGAACUACUGAACAGGCGGAAAUGUCGGAACUAGCAAAGAUGUCCGAGCACAGACAAUGCGAGAGAAAGAGAGAGAGGAGGAACUAACAAACAGAAUAUACCUAGUUACAUUAUUUGAGUGUUAUGUGCCUUUUUGUAUAAGGUCUGAGUAUACUGUGACCGUAGACCUGUUUGAGUUUUUGUACAACUCCAUAAUGAUCAUAUUACAGGGAUAAAACGGAAAAUGCGAUUUAAUGACUAUGUGGCGUUCGUAAACAAGCCACCGCUGAAAUAAAGGGGCUGCUGAGAUAGUAUUCCCUAAUCCCUUACCUAUUACGGUACAAUGCAUAUAUAUACGCGUAUGUAGCGAUAACGUGGUAUAGAUACACAUAUGGCAGGUGCUUCAGACAUCAUAUACACGACACAUCCAGAUAGAAGCGAAACUGUAGCGAGCGGCGUACAAUAAACAAAAAAUCAGAGAAACACAAAAAAGAUGGGAAGUAAAGGAGGUACUUACAACCAAAACUGAGGACAAGCAAGCAACAGCUACGUUUGACUCGUUGCGAGCUAUUUAACGUAUUUACAAAAGAUAUAUUGACAAAACGGCUACACUGACGAUGGCUCUUUCGCCGUAGAUAUGCACAGAAGGUAAUUUUCGUAAUCAAUGACCCUUCGGGAACAGUCGUUCCCUCAGGUGGCUAACACACAGAAGGAUAUCACCACCUCAUGCCUCCUCCAAAUUAAGAAUAGUAUCCGUGAAAAAAAAGUAAUGACAAUAAGGCUAAUAAUAUGGCAAUAGAAUUACUAAGUUGCUAUUCACACAAAACGUUUGGGAGAAAUCGUUUUCAUAGAAAGGAAUACGCUGUGGACAAUGAUGUUACAAAACGAUUGAGUUAGAGCAGUAUAAUAUAGGCGAGCUGCUUAAGAACUUAUAUGCACAGCUUUUUCUUUGAAAAAUGUUUUUGGAAACGUUUUUGGAAGCCGGAAAGCAUAGGGGCUACCAUUUUCGGUAUGAUGAACUGGCUAGAAGGGCCAUGUCUCUACGAUGCCAACCUCCAUAGCGAUAUCUUCCUUGGUAUUGAGACCUGGGACCCGAACAUUCGCUACCAAUACUAUUAUCAUCGUUACACCCCUUAGUAUUCGCCUCUACGGCGACUAAAAGGGAUUGAACAUCUAAAGUAAGCUAUACGACACUCACACAUGGCGGUAUGGGGGGGAUGGGUGCCAUUUGCACCAAUUUAUUCUAUAGACACUAAAUAUAAACCCUUGAAAAAAUCGACAAGCAAACAAAUGUAACGUACGAUAUAGCUCGAACGUAGACAUCUCGUUGGCAGCGACGGUACCAGGCGUGGCAAACGUGGCAGACGCGCCGGAUUCUCAGGUGGCAUCGAGCGAUUGUCGCCACUUGUACGCUCGCCAUUACCUUUAGAGCUUCCGAAAGUAAUGAAGAGAGAGGAACUUCCAGUAUGCAAGUUCCUCUCUCUUCAUAUCCAGAUCAGGUCUUCCGUUCUGCCAAUCGUGUCUCGUGAACGCUAUCCUAACUUCAUUGAGCCGCGCAUAGCCUCCGUUAUUCGAACUCGAAAUCGUGCGAAAUAGAUAUAUCUAUCUUAAAAGAACGGAUAUACACCUGUGUGUAGAGUAUUGGUUCCAGCGGAAAGUAAGCCAGACUGUGGGCUAAUGUUUGAUGUAACAAUAACGAAUUGCAGAACUAAUCAUAAUGAACCUUCGAAGAGGGGGCAUAAUAGAGGUCACAGAUCAAGUAAACUGAUAUUGAAUAUAAAGGCCGAAUUUGGAGAAAAUAAAACCUGUGAACGAGUAUCGGUAGUAGUAGAAUGUGACACACACAAACACACAGACAUACACAUUAUGACUAUGAAUAAACAUGAAGAAGAAGCUGAAAAAUGUCUUAAACAAAUAACGACGAUGUCGAUGUUAUGGCAAUAAUAAUAAGAGUGAUUAUUAAAUUAAGAAUUCGAAAUAAUUUUCUAACAAGCAGUCAUAUUAGGAAGAAAUCUAAAGAGACAGAUUUCCAUCAAGUGAACGUUUGGAACAGCUCGUGUCAUUUGUGAUUUAGGCAUAAUCUAAGUUAAAAGGUACGAUCAAAGGUUUUAAAAGGCUUUGUCUGGUUAGAAAAAUAGUCGUUAGGUUACAUAUGAUUCGGUACUGCGGCUAAAAACAGCGUAUAGGCCUUUUACGGAUGAGACGAGUGCUAAUUUUGUGUCGCACACCUAGAUAACCCAUAUAUAUAUAUAUAUAUAUAUAUAUAUAUGGAAGAGUACAUUAUAAUUGCAUAUAAGAUGGUGGAGCUCUAACGAUGGGAGGGAAAAAGAACGAAAAUUGUACGAACGUCGCUUAGGAAAAGAAACUAAAACCGAACACAGAAAUCUCGAAAGCAUCUUGCGCUGCCGAAAAACAUUAUUCUACUUAAAAUUCUUAUAAAAGACAAACGAGCCAAUAACACACGCAUGAAUAAUGAUAACAAUAAUAAUAUUAGUGGUAUAAUAUAAGGGAUAAUGGGACGUACUUAAAAAUAAUAUGAAUCGAUGAAAGCGAAAUGGCAAGAAGCUAGCGUGUUGUCUGGCAGUGCAUUAUAAAUGACAAGGAACAAUAUGCCUGUUCAGGAGGAAUAACGAUGUGGGGCGAAAAUUUACAUAGUCACUUAUGAAUACUAACCAUUAUAAUAACAAUAAAAAUAAUAAUGAGGAGGCAGUUACGUGGCUCACGUAUUGGGCGUAUUACGAGAAAAUAUUCGACAUAAGCGAAGAGGGUGCGGAUAAAGGAAGGAACAUAAAAUGAAUGGGAAAUACUAUGUACAUGAUGAAAGAGUGACUUUGCAAAAAACGAUUUGAGCAGACGCCUGAACGAGGUACUUUGAAUUUUGGCGCCAUUCAUACGUCCUGCGUUGGAUGAGACGAAGGAGUAUCUUAUCAUUGUUGAGUAUAAAUGGAAAAUCGAAUAGCAAUGAGCGAGAAAACAACCCAACGGAACGGAAAGUCAACAAACCGAAAUAAGAAUAACAGACAAUAAACUCAAAUACGUGUACAUGAUCAAAAUCAUGCUUGUUGUCUGUUGAAAUUCUAACAAAAUACAUAGAAUAAAUUUCCUAGUGAUAUAAUAUACGUGUCAUAUAGUACAGACAAAGUUAGAAGUUAUCGUGUAAUAUCUGCAGAUCACGCAGGAGAAUCAUAUAACAAAUAAGGAAUGACAGAAUGUGUGAGUCAUUAUAAAAUGAGCUUUGAUCGAAGAGAGCUUUUUCGCGAAGAGAUGCACGCUAUUGACGAAUACGCUUAGACUAACGGGUGUUGUACCAGCGAUAGCUUAGUGGGUAACAUUUGUGGGCGCUAAUCUUAGGGACACGUAGUAUUGUAGGUUCUACGACUCACUGCGUCUCGUGGCAGCUGUGUGUGGUGGACUACUUAGGAUAUGUUUGCACGGGUUGAAUUUACUGCGAAAUAAUGAGGAUAGAUCUACCAUGCUGUUUACCAAUCCUGGCGACGGACCUGACCCAACACUCCAUUCAACCACAGUCAUCACGACCAGAGUGAU